Molecule: long non-coding RNA, 669 nt
Organism: Oenanthe melanoleuca
Lineage: Eukaryota; Metazoa; Chordata; Aves; Passeriformes; Muscicapidae
Exons: 3
Source: RefSeq, a predicted model, not a curated record
UGCCAGCCAGAGGCUGCCCUUGAAGAUCACCAGGGUUCAGGGACUGCCCAUGAAGGGAGGGACUGUCAUCAGUGCUCUGCUGUUUCAGAUUUCAGCCAUCGUAUCUUUGUCUUCUUCUGUGCAGUAUGAAAACAGAGUGACAGUAAUUUGUGCUUGGUGCUCAUCAGACACACUGUAAUUGGGGGGAGAGGUUAGGGUCAGCAGGAAUCUAAUUUAGGCACUGAUGAGCUGCACCAACAGGCCAAGCUCCCUGGGAGGUCGGUGUACAUUCAGCAGUGCUUCCCCAGCACAGGGUUUUGCUUCACAUCCCUGCUCCAGUCUGACAGAAGAAGGAUUUGAACAUUCAUCUCUGACUAGCAAGAAGGGCGUCAGUACGUCUCCAUCUUCAAACAAGCUAGGAACGUGGGACAUUUGACAGAGAUUGUCCCUUCAAAGUUAGUGGAGGCCUGUCUGCAAUAUUGAAUUUGUGUUCCAGAGGAAAGAGCUCUUACAGAAAUACCUAGAGAAACUGCUUUUGCUGAAAUGUUCUGUGUUAGUCUCUUGCUACAUCAGGACCAAGGUGGCGAUGUUGCUGCUAUAAAACUAGUGAGAAUCAUCUACUUUUAAAUUUACUGGUUUUAUUCCUACCCAUGCUUUGCACCAGUGUACAAAACAAAACAAAACAACAAA